This 327-nucleotide ribosomal RNA is filed under the name Triticum aestivum (bread wheat). RNAcentral's name for it is "partial small subunit ribosomal RNA". The record is from RNAcentral. Lineage: Eukaryota; Viridiplantae; Streptophyta; Magnoliopsida; Poales; Poaceae.
AUGCCGCCUGUUUUUCAGCAUGGGGAGCUCCAACCCUGCAUUCUGCUUCUUGUGUGCGCCUUCUUGCUGUGUAUGGUGAAGGCCUUUGGCGCUUCUGUUACAUAUUUGCUGUGUUCUGUACAUGCUCGUCAAACUGACUUACAGCUUUGCUGUGUUCUGUACAUGCUCGCCGAAUUGGCUCUUACAGCUUCGCUGUGUUCUGUACAUGCUCGCCAAAUUGGCUCUUACAGAUUUGCUGUGUUCUGUACAUACUCGCCGAAUUCGCUAGUUACAAACUUGUUCUGCACACAUUCUGUUACUGAUUACUGUAAAUCAACAAAGAACUAG